This 928-nucleotide long non-coding RNA is filed under the name Lotus japonicus. Its description in RNAcentral is "long non-coding RNA (LJAP_LNC000336)". The record is from RNAcentral. Lineage: Eukaryota; Viridiplantae; Streptophyta; Magnoliopsida; Fabales; Fabaceae.
UAAAAUCAAAAAUAGAUAUAUCCUAAAUUAAACCUAACUAUUCAAAUCUGCCUAAAUCACAUCCAUAUUAGUCCGAUCUGCAGAACCGUCGAGGAAGAAGCGUGAACCGUGGCCACGCAGUUGCAGUUGCGGCCUCCUCCUUUCUCCACGAAGCUUCCUCUGCGGCUCGCUCCGUCUCAAAAUUCUCCGCACCAAAUUCGCUGGUGGGAGAGAGGGACAUGUCGAUGAAGAGUGGGAGGGAAGGACAGGGAAACGAGAGAGAAACGAGAACAGAUCAGAGCUUCGACGACAGGUCGAUGGAGUGUGGAGAGUGGGAUAAAGUGUGGGAGGGAGAGCGGCGCAGCAGGGGACGGUGGCGGCACAAUGGGCUGCAGCGGUUGGGAGAAGGAGCACAGCGGUUUAGAGAUUGAGGUAGCAGAUCGAGAGUGGUAGUGGAACAAAAAUAAGGGUUUUACGGGAUUUGGGUUAAGUGAGUGGUUCUAGUGGAAAGUAAAUAGCAAUAAAUCGAAGACAAAACAUAAAUCUAACCUGAGCCUAGUGGAAAGUAAUUUUGAAAUAGCUUAAGGUACCUGGGUUCGAAUCUCAUGUGGAACAAUUACUAAAUCUAGAAUUAAUUUUUCACUAAAUUUUUACAGCGGUUUGAUCAUAAACGCUGUAAAUAGUGGAACAAAACAUAACCGUUGUUAAUAGUAAUGGCUUUUACAGCGGUUCAUAUAUCGACCGCUGUAAAAGCUUAUAAUCCGCUUCGUGUUUCCGUCUUUACAGCGGCUACAAAACUUAACCGCUGUUAAUAGUAAUGGCUUUUACAGCGGUUUAUAUAUCAACCGCUGUAAAAGCCUAUAAUACGCUUCGUGUUUUCGUUUUUACAGCGGCUGCGAACUCAACCGCUGUAAUUGGGGCGCUGUAAAAGCCAUUUUCUGGUGUAGUG